CAAUUGUCAUGUAGUUGAAUUGAAUUUGCUCAUCAAUUUCUAUGUUAUUUCAGCAACAAUAAGGACAACAAAGACUUUUACUGAUAUUCCUUUGUCAUUGAAGAUUUUGUGAUACAAAGAUCUUCCAGGUAUUUCAAGACUUUUAUUGAUACACCUUUGUCCUUGAAGAUUCUGCGACACAAACAACUUCCAAGUUUUUCAAGUGCAGAAGAGAGAGCUAUUGGCUUUCAAUAAGCAGAGCAACGGCCACAAGUUUCUUAAAAUUGUCAAAUAUCAG
Prosopis cineraria is the source of this 277-nucleotide long non-coding RNA. RefSeq lists it as uncharacterized. The transcript is spliced from 4 exons. NCBI's taxonomy places the organism in Eukaryota, Viridiplantae, Streptophyta, Magnoliopsida, Fabales, Fabaceae. The record is from RefSeq and is a predicted model, not a curated record.